RNAcentral lists this small RNA (28 nucleotides) under Bombyx mori (domestic silkworm). RNAcentral describes it as "ovarian small RNA-25974". The record is from RNAcentral. Lineage: Eukaryota; Metazoa; Arthropoda; Insecta; Lepidoptera; Bombycidae.
UCAUAUAUAAAGAUUAAAUAACGCUGUC